Molecule: long non-coding RNA, 1194 nt
Organism: Cyprinus carpio (common carp)
Lineage: Eukaryota; Metazoa; Chordata; Actinopteri; Cypriniformes; Cyprinidae
Source: Ensembl
CCCAAGUCCAGAAACGUAGCAAGGAGAGCUGUAAAAUAAUCCAUGUGACAUCAGUGGUUCAUCUGCAAUUAUACAAAUUUUGGAGAAUAUCCACUGGACGUAUGCCGAUACACUGUUUCCGUUCAGAUCAAAUCACAACAACAAGAAACAGAUCUCAGCUGAGAACAGCAUAUUCUCGGAUAUUCUCCAAAAUUCGUAUAAUUGCGGAUGAACCACUGAUGUCACAUGGGUUAUUUUACAGCUCUCCUUGCUACGUUUCUGGACUUGGGAACAUUUCAGUUGCGUUGCUGUCUAUGCAGGGUCAGACAGCUCUCAGAUUCAAUCAAAAAUAUCUUAAUUUGUGUUCUGAAGAUGAAUGAAGGUCUUACGGGUUUGAAGCCACAUGAGGGUGAGUAAUUAAUGACAGAAUUUUCAUUUUUGGGUGAACUAACCCUUUAAGGUAGAUCUUCGCAUUUUUAUAUGAAUAUGUUCCAUUAACGUUUGACAGCCAGACAGUGACAAAUGCUUUAAUUUGAACUGUAUCUACCUUUUUCUUGUCGUAAAAAUGGGCACGGUCAUUUGUAAAUUCUAUGGGUCUGGCUUCUGGUCUCAUCUGCGUCCACUCCGUCCAGCUAUUUUUAGCUGAACUAAACAGUUUGUUUUACUGCUUGAUAUUGAAAGUUGGUGUGUCUUAUCAUGUUAUUUUAAUGUAUUAUCUUAAUUAUGAACACAUUGGUUUGUAGUGCAAACAGUUUUACCAUUUACUGCACGUCGUUAUUCUCCUCGUUAUUUACCUAUAGCGGCUAAUAAACCGGAAGUCUCACCCAUAAGCUUACUUCCGCGUUGAGGAAAAAGGUGGAUAUCUACUGUUUAUUCGUUUUUGUUCAGAAAAAAGUGUGAAGUAAGUGCUCAAAUAUGUUUUCGGGCCACUAUAUAUACACACACACACACACGCUUGCUCUCUCUUCAUACACGUAUACUUAUCCUUCACCCUUUCUCUUUUUUUUUUUUUACGUCAGUCUCUCUCCCUCUGUCCCGUCGGGCCGUGUGGAUCCGCCCCUGCUUAAUUUUAUAAUUUCGCCCCUUUCUGAAUUUCCCGACUACAAAAGUCUGUCUGACAUUUCUCUCUCAGUCUCAGCAGGGGAGCGGGGAAUAUCUCAAGCCAGCUACACAAAGGGAAAACAGGGGGCCCCAUUACUCACCAGGACAGGGUGA